RNAcentral lists this long non-coding RNA (8687 nucleotides) under Triticum aestivum (bread wheat). RNAcentral's name for it is "long non-coding RNA (TAES_LNC004053)". Lineage: Eukaryota; Viridiplantae; Streptophyta; Magnoliopsida; Poales; Poaceae. The record is from RNAcentral.
AGGGAGUACAUGACAUAAGAUAAUGAUACUUACUACAGUACUUUGCAGACAAAAUUAAAACUGUAUCCAUAAUAAUACAAGCAUGAGAAUAAGGAUCUCAAACAGCAAUCUCAUGGGACAAGUUGCAGUCAAACACAACAAUUUCUCACUCCCACAGUAGCAAAUAAACAAGGGAUUGACUUGAGCCAGAGAAACACCUUGUUAACAGAAAAUAGGCAAAGUAAAACGAUAGUCAAACUUCAUGAUCCCUGAUACUUGGCCUGGUAGUUCCAUAUUGCCCCUCCCUGCCAAACAAACCAAUUUAAAACUUAGAUGAACUGCAUGUAUUGUUGAUUAUCUUAAUAAAUAAGAUAUGAUAGGUGGAAAAUGAACAGUUUGGGAGCAGCAAGCAGUAAAGUCACCUAACUAAUAGGACAUGGCUUCAGAAGUUGGCUUGGCUGGGAAGUCCAAGCAAGCUUGCCCUGAGCAUUGCCGGAGAGAGCAAGAGGACAGCCAAUGCUGGCGUCCGUCAGAGAGAGAGGUGUGCAGUUGAAAGUUGCUCUUGGAUGGAAAGCAGAACUCCGGGUCCGGUAUAUGUACUCACCCAGUGCAAAGUAGAAUCUGCGAGAACAAGGAAAAUAGUAGUUAUAUGGAUAAGGUGGCAACAGUAAUACUCUGGAGGAGAAAUGGCAAUACAAUUAUAUGUAUGUUAAAUACGCACAUAUGUAAUUGUCAUCAUUUUACUAUAACCUAACAUGUAAUUGUGAGAUCAGAUCCUGCACUACCAUUAGCUGGUCUCACUUUGAUGAUUUUACUAAAUUCAUAGAAAAUUAGGAAUUAUGCGGUGGUACUCUUAUUGUCUUAAGAGAGACUAUGUUCGAUGCAGGACAAAAACCAGUCGCAUAUCUUCUAGAACAAAAAAAGUCAUGGGCCCAAAGACUUGUGUGCUCAUAGCUAGCAGACUGGGAGUACAUCUGAAACAAACAACUACACUGAUGUAGAGAUAAAUGGCAGUCAUUCACAGGAAAAAUACUGAAACCUUAGGAUAAAAAGCAACUUCGCACAAAAUCUGAAAGAGGCCACUGGAAGCUAUAACUGAAGGAAGGUCCUUACUGAGGAACAAAUAACCAAAUAUGCCAUGGCAUUGUAUGUUUUAGGUUCAAAAUACCUAAUUUUGAUAGAAAUAACUAAAACAGAUGUAUCUAGCAGUUUGGUAAGACUAAAAUGUGGAUGUUAUUUUGACAUAAAUAAGAAAAAGGCGUUCACGUAAGCUUCUAAAUGGGAUUUUAUUUCAUUCUCCACCUUCAGUUGAGCAAUGACUUGGCAUAGCUACAUAUGUAGUAGUCAGGCCAAAUGCAACUUAUUUUAAACGUUUGUUGUAAAUAAAUGCAAUGCAAAAUUCAUUACACAAACAUAUUCUAAAAAUAAAUUUGAUUUUUUAUCCACCUUUCACAAACAAGAAUUAUUGGUACAAGGGAUAAAAGAUGGCGACCGAUACUUGUCCUUCGAGCUGCGCUAUGUGAUCUUAAGCCACGCAUUGAGAAAUUAUACAUCUAGUCAUCACCUUGUUUAGGGUGUCACAAAACCGAACUCCAAAACAAACGACCAAGGAAAUCAUCAUGGAGACAAUUUGACGGACAUAAUGAUACUGUAGCUUAUAAGCAUAUAAGAGCACGAGAAUCCAAUUCGGUGCCCAGGUCUAGAUGAACCCAGUGAACAGUAACAUGACAAAAAAAUCAACUUUUUUUUUGCUUCAAAAAGAUGUUUGAGUGCAGGAUGUGCGUGCAAAAUUUCAUCCCGUUUGAACAUCUGUGGAGCUCGUGGCAAAAAAGAGAAAACCGGACAAAACAGCGCGUGAACAGUAACUUUCUCACAGAGCCGAAUUUUGUCUUUUUUGUCGCGCGCUCCUCGAAUGUCGAAACUUCACCAAAUUUUGCAUAAACAUCGCGCACACAAGCAUCUUGCUUGCAAAAAAAAAACUCAGAAUUUUUUGAUUUUUUCCUAUUUUUUAUGAAUUUUUUAUUUUGCCCGGGCACUGAAACGCCGCUCUGGAUAAGAGCAAAGCUACUGAGCAAAUCUUUGCAUAAACAGUGUAGGAGUCUCACACAAUUUGUUACAAGAAAACCAAACAGUACAAAAAUACACUGUUGGGCAAACAAAGCUACUCGGCAAAUAUCUUUCCCAUCUACCCUACACUUGAGCAAACUUUGAGAUGAGCUAGCAGAUAGGACAACUCCCUUGUGUAUUUGUGUGGAAUAGAAACAUGUGAAGAGAAGAAAGAAAACAAAAGGAGAUAUGGUGCCUCAACACUGACUUUCAAUUUAUGAACCUCAAUACUGAACACUACACAUGGUCGCAGCAGUGCAUUUUCUGUAAUGCUAUCACCACCAACAGUACAUUAAUAACCUAUUUGUUUGCUUCAGCAUAUCAACAUCUUUAAGGUCCUGAACCACAUUUUCAGUAGCAAGGAUCUGCCUUUUGAAAACAAAAACAAACCUAAUCAUGCGCAGGGGUCUAGAUUAAAGAUUCACUUCAGGCUCUUAAAACCAAACUGGUACUCUGAUCAGUUUAACCGAAGUAGUUGAAUGCAAAGUUCCUGAUAUGGACAAACAUAUACGAAUCAUAAGGAAGCAUCGGUGCACAGGUAUAAAACUACAACAGGCUAAAAACAGAAUCUUUACUGUGGCCCGUAAACUAUUUCUAAAGUCUCUGGUAUGCCAAUCUAACAUUUUGAUGACAACAUGCAGCUUUCAAAAGCGAGUAUAGAGUAAAAAAAGCAGAACUUCAGACUAAAAAGUGAAGCUAUUCCCUUGAAUCUGUUGAACAUUUAACAAUAUCAUUAUCCAAUUAAUACCACUGAAACAACUUGUUAUGACCGGCAUAGGGGCUUAGCCCAGUGGGUUAUGGCCCAAGUAUCUUAAUUAGGGGCUUAGCCCAAUUAUCUUAUCGUAUUAGGAUCGUUUGCUUAGGAGUCAAGUAAACCUCUCUAUAUAAGGAGAGGAGAUGUAUCAAUCUAAUCAAGCAAGAAGCAAUCAUAAUUUGCUCGGCUUCCCUUAGGGAGCCGGGAGACCUAAACCCUAGCCGCCUCCUGCCUUCGCCGCCGCUGCUUCCGUCGCAAGGACGGCGCCACGCCGCCGGCCGCCGCGCACCAGCCCUCGUCCUUCCCCCUCCUUCCCCUACAACCUACGCCCUAGAUCCGGUAGGGCCCUAGCUCCUACCAAUUUGGUAUCCAGAGACUCGGGUUCGAUCAUGCCGUCAUCAACACCCACGCCGCCGUUGCCCAUCAUCACCACCGCCCCGAUGACCACUGUCGGGGGUACUGAGGACCAGGGCAGAUGCAGCAGGAUCUCGUGACGGCCGUCCAGGGCAUCCAUCGGUACCUGGCCGGGCCCGCACCUCCACCGGCUGCGACUACCGCCGCCUACGGCCACCCCACGCUGUCGUGGCCGUCCCAGGGGGCGCCUGCAUUGGGCGGGCCACCGCUGCCGCCGUUCCAGGCGGGGCACCCCAGUGGGCCGCCUCUGCCGCUGCUGCAUCUGCCCUGGUCCUCAGUACCCGCGGCGAUCGCCGGGGCCCAUCCGUCGUUCCAGCCGCCGCAGUGGCCCGUGCCGGUUCUCACGGCGCCAUCCGCGCCCGCCCCAGCGCCACAGUGGCCGCACUGGCCCGUGCUAGCCCCAGCCGCGCCGGUCCAGCUCCCACCGCCGCCGCCCAGCUCCGGACUGGGCCAGUCCACACCAGGAGACCUCCCGAUCCAGCAGGUCCGGUUUCCGCCGUCACUGUCCCAGAUCCCGGCCUGGCUAACCGGGACGUCGCCACCGCCAGUUUACACGGAGGCCGGGAACCCACCGGUACCCAUGCUGCAGUCUGGGGCCUCGUCCGGCUCCGCGGGGGCCUAUGACGGUCUCCCCACCGUUGACCGGGCGCCGUCAUCAUCACUACUCUGCACCGCCGAGCCAGUCGGCCAUGGCGCGCCGACCCAGACGCCGCCACGGUUCGCCAAGAUCAACUUCGCCACUUAUGACGGCACGGAGGACCCGCUUAACUGGCUCAACCAGUGUGAGCAGUUUUUCCGUGAACAGCGCACGCGAGCGCACUUGGCUGGCAUCCUACCACCUCCGCGGUGCAGCCCAGACCCCAGGAUAUCCAGACGGCCAUGUACUACGCCCGCGCGUUCGAGCGCCGCGCGGUGGCCGUCCAGCAGGAGUCACCGUCCCGGGCCACUGGGUCGCUACCCUGGCCAGAUCCCGCUCCGUGUCGGCCUGUUCAGGCUUCCGCGGCACCCCUCGCCGCGACAGCGGCGCGCCCGUUCCGCCGGCUCACCUCGGCCGAGCUACUCAAGCGUCGCCGCCAAGGGUUGUGCUUCAAUUGCGACGAGUCCUACACGCCCAGCCACGCCUGCCCACGACUCUUCUACCUCGAGGUUGCAGACUACAUUCCGGAGGACGCCGUCGCCGCCGACCUUGCCGCCCCAGCUGUUGCGAAGGUGUUUGACGCUGGUUGAUCACCUCAAGUAUUUCAGCAAGCGCUUCCCCACCUUACAGCUCGAGGACGAGCUGUUUGUGCAGGCGGGGAGAAGUGUUAUGACCGGCAUAGGGGCUUAGCCCAGUGGGUUAUGGCCCAAGUAUCUUAAUUAGGGGCUUAGCCCAAUUAUCUUAUCGUAUUAGGAUCGUUUGCUUAGGAGUCAAGUAAACCUCUCUACAUAAGGAGAGGAGAUGUAUCAAUCUAAUCAAGCAAGAAGCAAUCAUAAUUUGCUCGGCUUCCCUUAAGGAGCCGGGAGACCUAAACCCUAGCCGCCUCCUGCCUUCGCCGCCGCUGCUUCCGUCGCAAGGACAGCGCCACGCCGCCGGCCGCCGCGCACCAGCCCUCAUCCUUCCCCCUCCUUCCCCUACAACCUACGCCCUAGAUCCGGUAGGGCCCUAGCUCCUACCACAACUAUACAAUGUUCAUCAUCACAAGAAACGACAGUAUUUUCUAUUGUCUGGCAUCAAGGAAGACAAUAAAUUACGAUGUAAGAAGCUUUUCCGAGCUGAACACUGAACGUGCAAGGUUGAAAUCAAAUAAGCAGAUGCAGAAGUAAUACAAAAGUGAAACUGAGUUCUAGGAAGUUUGUCGACAUACCAAAUAACACAUUCUUCGGCAAACGGAUCUUGUCAUAUAGCCAUUUACUGAUUUACAUCAGACCCCAUGAAAGCCAGGAAAAUAGUGAGCAUUAGAAAUAACCGUGACAUUUUGAGUGACAUCUGUGAGUAGGCAACACAAAGUGAAAACGUGAAUGAGUACAUAUACUAUUUGAAAGCCAUGAAAGGGCAUGCAACUAUCUAAGAAAUUAACUGACUACACCAAGCAAUAAAACUCUCUGGUGCACCACUUUAUUGAGGAAAAAAACAAAAAUGAGUCAGGCUGAACACGAAUAUAAAUAAGUUCAGUACAGUACGAUGUUCUUUAAGUUGAUGCCCUAUAUGAUGCUUAUGACUAGGGAGGUGACCACCCGAUCAUUGCAUUUCCCCACCUGAGAAGAAAAAUAAAGCCAUCCUUCCAAGUGCUUACACUUAAAUAAAAAUCGGAAUCAGCGUAUGACAAAAGAGCUUAUAAUGUAAACAAAAAAGAACCCUGGAUUCAUAGCAGCUUCAAAUGGGGAGGUGGAAUAGUAAGAAUACAAAAAGAAGAAAUCUUCCUCCACCACCUCUUUGAAAGUGCAUUUUGGAGCAAGAGCUACCAUUGAAAAAAUUGGGAGCAUUGUAGCAUAAAUGCCUACAUAUGCUAAUUUCAAUGUUAGUCGCUUCAGACACAUAGAUAGCCUAAAAGGAGCAGUUUCAGUUUAUCUAUAUCAAGAAACGAACAAAAGAUUCAUCUACAAAUAUCAAAAGAACCCCGGAUAAAUCUGCCCCCAUCAUCGCCAAAGAAAGAAGAAAGUACCAAACAAACUAAGAAAGGCAACAAAACAUCCUACGAAUCUAGCUAGAUAUGAGCAUCUAUUGGAUAGGAACAAACAAAAAUUCACAUGCAAAAACUUAACCGAGGUAGCCAACAAACCUAAAAGGACAACAAAGAAUCUCCUUUCUUGGAGCCCAGCUAGACGUAGACAUCUCUUAAAUCCAAUUUGCAGGAACCUAGCUAGACAUGAAUAUAUGAGCAAGUCAUAAACCAAUUAAAGAGUGUAGACACCAAUUUUACAGUACAGUUCAGCAAAUAAAGAUGGCUCAUUACUGUAUGGACAAGCUCCAUCAAUCAGAAAAUCGAGGUAGAAGAUCUAUGAACUAAAAUCUUCAGAACUCUUUGCUGGCCAAAUUAUACCUUAAAAUCAACAAUAAUAGAUGGUUGCACACCUGGAAUUUGAGAUGUGUUUCCGCUGGAGCACUUCCUGCGAAAAUAAAGAACGCCAUACCAUGAUAAAACAAUGUAAAUCCAGAUCUUCCCCCUUUAGCUGAACACCAAAACAAAACACUGGGUUUUUUGUUCCACGCCCAAGCAGUCCCAAAUCCUUCAUGGUUUGCUGAGAGAGAGAGAGAGAGAUGAACCUGGACGUCUAGCCGCCCAUGAAUGAUAGGCACGCUACCGCAGCCGUCAGGCAUCUGGGCAGCUAGAGGCGAAGAGGAGGAUGGUGGCAGUAAGGGGCCGCAGAGGAGACCGGCGUCACGUCCGGAGGCAGCGACACAUUGAGGAGGCAUCAUUGAGCAUGGAUGCGGCCGAGGUGGACCUCGACGGCGGCAGGCAGGAAGAGGAUGGGGCUCAAGCGAGGGAUGUGGCGGCUAGGGUUUUCACCACAUAGGGAAAAAGGUUAACCUGUUUGUCAAUGUGUGAAUAUAUAGGCUGGCUAGAAAAAGACGGAGAUGCCCCUUCAGCGGGACAAAAUCACUCAUGGUGCCAUCGCUUCGAUGCUAGCCGUCAAGCGAAAAGAUCCUACGGCCACCAUUGCAAACGAAUCAAGAAUUGAGAUUAGAUGUAUGGUCCUUGGAAGAUAUAAACAUCCUGGAUGGAGAUAUUCUGAAUGUGCUGUGUAUUGCUUUUGGAAGGAUGGGCUAUGCCUGAGUGUCCAAGGUACAUGAUAUAAGAUGAUGAUAUUUACUAACAAUACUGCAGUACUUUGCAAACAAAAUGGUAUAAGGAUAGAAACUAUAUCCAUGAUAAUACAAGCACGAGAAUAAGGAUCUCACAAGAAUGUCAUCAAACAGUAAUCUCAUGGGACAAGUUGCAGCCAAACACAACAGUUUCUCACUCCAACAAAAGCAAAUAAACAAGGGAUUGACUUGAGCCAGAUAAACAUCUUGUUAAUAAAAAUAGGCAAAAUAAAAAGAUAACCAAACUUCAUGAUUCCUGAUACUUGAUCUGGUGCUUCCAUAUUGCCCCUCCCUGCCAAACAAACCAAUUUAAAACUUAGUUGAACUGGAUGUAUUGUUGAUCAUCUUAAUAAAUAAGAUAAGAUAGGUGAAACAUGAACAAUUUGGGAGCAGCAAGUAGUAAAAUCACCUAACUAACAGGACAUGGCUUCAGAAGUUGGCUUGGCUGGGAAGUCCAAGCAAGCUUGCCCUCAGCAUUGCCGGAGAGAGCAAGAAGACAGCCAAUGCUGGCAUCCGUCAGAGAGAGAGGUGUGCAGUUGAAAGUCUUGCUGCUCAUAUCAACACGGACCCAAAAGCUUGGCGUGGAUGGAAAGCAGAACUCCGGGUCCUGGUAGAUGUACUCACCCAGUGCAAAGUAUAUGACACGGUCUUCCUGUAUGUUGAGGAAGGGGUACAUGGGUGCCAUGGAGGUCGGCAGGUGGUUCCCUUUGAAAGCCCCCUCUUCACGCAGGCUCCCCAGCUUGAGCUCGUAGUCUACAUCCCAACUCAUAUCUUCCUUGAGUCUCCAGACCCUCACCAUGCGGUCAUCCACAAGAUCCACACGCUCAAGGAAGCCGGUGAUGGAGACAAACUUGAUGGAGUCCCCAACACAGCCCACAGCUCGAAAGGCCCUCGGCUCUGGUAUGUAAUCUCUACAGCCUAAGUAUCUCUCGCACCCCACAGGGAGGUCUAAGGAGUGGGCGUCCAUGUAACGCUGGCUGGAGAACACAUCACCGCAGUCACAGUACAUGCCACCAAGCAAGAGAUCCACCCAGUAACCACGGCCACGGUGGGAGAACACAUCUUCGGCAAGGAAAGAGCUUUUCUCAGCGAGCAGAUGGUCGGGGAAAUUAGUGAACUUCGCAAUCUCCCACUGAGACUUAGAUGAGGAUCCCGACACGAAGAGAACAGGCUGCCGUCCAGGACAGCCUAUGUCGUAGACGGUCCCGGGAAAGACCAGGGCGUAGGAGCUGAUGUCGUCGUCCCGGCGGCGCGCCACAAGAACACGGGACGUAAGGACGGAAGGGGGUGUGCUGGGCGCAGACGGGAUCAUGAGGAGCGAUCUGUCAAUUGCGUUGUAGAUGAGAUAGAUACCCCGGGGGUAAACUUGAGGAAAGGAAGUUAUCAUGAUAAUCAGGUUCUUGUCGACGGCAUGGAUACAAGUGGAGAACGGGCGGACGCCUCGGAGGGUCAGGCGGGACAGAUCUGGCGCACCAGCAAGGUCUGCUUCUAGCGCCAGGCCCCGCAUGAGCGCAUCGCAAUCGAGGUCCGCAGGGAACCCGAACGCCCUCUUGGCUCCAGAGGACAGCAAAGUCUUCUUGUUGUCGGCUGUUUCGCCGCCGGGGAGAUACGUGCCCACGAAGGGAUCCAGGAGGAAAAGGGAAGGCGAGN